GACGAACGCUGGCGGCGCGCCUAACACAUGCAAGUCGAACGAGCGAGCGGCGGCUUACUUUCUCACGCGAGUGGCGAACGGGUGAGUAACGCGUGAGGAACCUGCCCUAAAGAGGGGGAUAACAGUGGGAAACGACGGCUAAUACCGCAUAAGACCACUACCCGGCAUCGGGUAGGGGGAAAAGGUGCAAUUCGCGUUGAGAUGGCCGCGCGUCCGAUUAGCUGGUUGGUGAGGGAAUGGCCCACCAAGGCGACGAUCGGUGGCCGGACUGGGAGGUUGCCCCGCUGCGUUUGAACUGCGGCACAGACCAGUCUGCUACGGGGGGGAGGAGUGGAGAGUAUUGCACGAUGAGGGCUAACCUGAUGACGCGGCGCCGGGUGGGAGGGGAAGGGCUUCGUAUUGUACUCUCCGGUUGUUGGGAGAGAUAAUGACGGUACUCAAAGAGGAAGUGCCGGCUAACUACGUG
Molecule: ribosomal RNA, 466 nt
Filed under: uncultured bacterium
Lineage: Bacteria
Description: partial 16S ribosomal RNA
Rfam family: Bacterial small subunit ribosomal RNA
Source: RNAcentral